RNAcentral lists this long non-coding RNA (9154 nucleotides) under Sus scrofa (pig). RNAcentral's name for it is "lncRNA (ENSSSCG00025065947.1)". The record is from RNAcentral. Lineage: Eukaryota; Metazoa; Chordata; Mammalia; Artiodactyla; Suidae.
UUUGAUUUUUUUUUAGGGCCUCAGGUGUGGCAUAUGGAAGUUCCCAGGCUAGGUCAAACUGGAGCUGCAGCUGCUGGCCUAUGUCACAGUCACAGCAAUGCCAGAUCCAAGCCACGUCUGAGACCUAAACCACAGUUCAUGGCAAUGCCAGAUCUUUAACCUGCUGAGCAAGGCCAGGGAUCAAAACUGUGUCUUCAUGGAUACUAGUCAGGCUGGUUAACACUGAGCCACAAGGGGGACUCCAGAAAGCAGGUUAUUAUUAGAAGUGAUUUAACAACAAAAACAAACAAAGGCCUUGGUCCUAGUCAUAGCUGUGCUAUCCUCCCUAUCCAUUGUGAACAGUGAAAAAAAUCACCCAAUUCAUGUGUAAAUAAUUGAAAAUACAUAAUUAGAGAUGACUCCAUUUCGCUUUGUUUAUUCUGUCUUUAUUUACAUCUGCAAUAUCUAUUAUGUAACUACUAGUUGAAUGUGGCUGUUGAAUGCCUGACCUGUGGCUAGUAUGAACUGAGAUGUGUGUAAGUAUAAUAAACACACCAGAUUUUUUAAACUUUAACAAAGUAAAUGAUCUCAUUAAUAAUUUUAUACAAUUACAUAUAAAUCAAUGAAAUUAAUAAUAUUCUGUAAAUACUGGCUUAAAGGAUAUAAAUCAAAUUAAUUUUACUUUUUUGCUCUUGUUCUUUUUUGAUGUGAAUACUAGAAAAUUUAAAAUUGCAUAUACAACUCGCAUUUGUAGUUCAUAGUAAAUCACUAUUGGACAGACAAUUCUGAGAGGGAGCAUAAUAGAUAAAUUUUAUACAUUCUUAAAAGCUAGUUUAAUUAGAUUUAAUUAGCAAAGGUAAAUGAGAGCACAAAGGUAACUACCACCAGUUUAAAAAGACAGGAGGAGUUCCCGUCAUGGCGAAGCAGAAACGAAUCCGACUAGGAGCCAUGAGGUUGUGGGUUCGAUCCCUGGCCUCACUCAGUGGGUCAAAGAUCCUGCAUUGCUGUGAGCUGUGGUGUAGGUCGCAGACUUGGCUCGGAUCUGGCGUUGCUGUGGCUCUGGUAUAGGCCAGCGGCUACCGCUCUGAUUAGACCCCCAGCCUGGGAAUCUCCAUAUGCCGCGAGUGCGGCCCUAAAAAAAAAAGACACAGGAAAGUGUGCAGCAUGAUUUAUACCCUAAGAUUGACUGAUAAAGGCUUUGAUGAUUGGUAACCCUGAGUGCUUACUAGUAAGGUACCUGGAAUUGUGUAUGCUUUAUCUCAUUUGAUACUCAUAAAUCCCCUUGGGACCAAAGCCACUUACUGUAUAUUUUUCCAUAGUCAUUUGUCAAAAAUUAGCUUGUCUUUCUCUUUCCCUUGGCUGAAGUCUGCAAAGUUGUGGCUUUUUUACUUCAGUAGCUUCCCUUUAAUUUUGAGAUAGAAUUAAUACUAAAUAAAUGUUAAAACAUUAAAAAGUGAAAGUGCUUAUGAAAUGUAUGUGUGCAGGAGAAUCCUGGGAUCAAGAAGAUUAUGAUAAACUGAUUAGUAAGUGUAGAAAGACGUAUCAGAGCCUCUGAAAGGGACUGAAUGGGACUCUAGUUCAUUAAUACCAUCCCUUGUCUCCACCUUGACUACUUUAAGCUUUAUUGUAUAAAAUAAUGCACAGGGUAAGGAUUCAGGACAGACCCCGAGGAGGGGCGAGGCAUGCUGGCUUUACUCUCAGGUAAUGACCAUCAUUGGAAAUUACACUGUGAUUCAGCUUGUAUAUUGUCUUACUCUGCAUAUUCUCUGACCUGAUUUAUUUUCUUGCUUCUUAAACUUAAAAUCUCCAAAAGUUGUUCCAACUCUACUUUUCCAGAAGAGAUUAAUAUAACUGUUAUUGCUUGUUUUGCCCCCUCUCUCUUUUCUUCUACAUUAUAAUAAAAUUAGACCCCUCAACAGCAGUCAGAGUUUAUGCUUCAUUUUGUUCUGACAUCUCUAUUUGUAUGGGUCACCACCAGGGAAACCCCAUUAACUUUGAAUUUCAAAGCUUCAUGUAAACUACAAGUGUCCCAUAAAUCUAAUCCUACUACAGGAGACUGCUGAAUUCUCAAAGGAUAUCUCCUGAGACUUUCAAGAAUUUUCAAAGUCAAGAAUACUAUUACAGUAUGAAAUUUUUCUUAAAAAUUCAGUAGUACCAAUUUUUUUUUAAAGUAAGUGAUUUCUUCAGACUCUUGAUGGUUCUACAUAUCACAAGGUCAGAGUCAUAACAGUAUAAAGGUAUUUGAGGGAUAAGAAUUGCUAGUGUCUUAGGUCUUUUUUACUGCUUACCAAUAUUAUCAGUUAGCUAUUUUCUGAAGUAUUUCACAAAGCAACAAAGUUUUCAUGUCAUGAGUGUAGCUGAGUAGACAUUGAUUAAGACGGAAAAAUAAAAACUCAAGUUGAGAUGGACAGGGAAGCUAAUUCCAGCACACUAGCUUCAAUGCAUAAGAGAUUCAAUUGCAAUUGCGGUAAAUUACAAAUUAUUACAUAUUAUUGUGCUUAAAGAUUGUCAACAAAAUAAUGAAGUGACUUUUGCAAUGCCAAAUAUAAUUACUCAAGCAAUUUAAUCAAAACUAUAUUGAAUUUCUUUGAAUGCUAGCUGACCACUGCAGUAUUCCUUGGAAAAAACUGUAAUUAUUCUUAAAUAAAUCUUUAUUGAUACACAAUCAUGAGCAAGGUUUUAUUAAAUUGCUAAUGAAGAAGGGCUCAAAAUUCAGAGCAUCUGCCCACAUGACUUUCAGUUUGCAGUACUUAUCUGAAACCACUGUUUAAUUUUCUCUGUCCAGGGCACCUUAAUAUGAGAAUUCUAACAAACUCUGAGUCAUCAUCAGUGGGCCCAUUACACUGUAGUCUUAGCUCUUCUUAAGAGCUUGUAUCUUCGAAACACCCAUCAGAAAUCUCCAAAGUGAAUUUCAUACAUUCCUGUAGCUUUCGUUUGUUUGAUAUUGUAACCAAUAAUUGCAUUAAAGAUAACAUAAAUCAGGAACUAAGUAUUAUUCAAAAAUCUUUAUUUUAAAAAAUGUUUAUACUAUUGGUAAAAAUAGUAGUUAUUAGAUACACAAUUAGCCUUUUUCUAUUCCAAUUCCAGAAAUGAGAAUUUCCUUCUUUAAGUAAAAAAGUGAAAUUUACUCGACAUGUCUAAUAAAUUGAUGAGUUAUUUAUUAAUGGUUUAUGAUAGAAACCUCAAAUGUCCAUAAAUAUAUCUUCCUCUUUCCUUUUACAAUAUUUUCUGAGCACAUGCACGCACAUGCAAACACAUAAUUGUCUAUUUAGUUCUGAACUUAGCUAAGAUUAAUGAUUUUUCCAUUCAUACAGAUUACAAACUGGUGGUGGAAUAUGAUACUUCGUUCAUUUAAUUAAAGAAGUCUAAGUCCAGAGCAAAAUAAAUGUUAACUAACGUUAUUUGUAUUCCAGGGAUUCAUCCUCCAUCUCUUCUAACUAACUUAAAUGCCACACCAUGUAUCUGGAUUCCUUAACAACUCCAGGCACAUUUCCCACCACUUGCCUCUGUCAACCCUGCAAGCUGUUCCUUCUGACUUCAAAGUGUGAAUAUUUUUGCUUCAUCAUCAGUUUUGUAGUCUGAAGGGAGAGUUGGCUUACCUAAAAAGAAGCCAUACUUUCCAAUGAAGACAAUAGAAUAGGGAUGCUAAUUACCACUUCCUUUUAAAAUAUGUAUGCCCCUUCCUCCCACAAAGAAAAAGACAAGGGGACUUUCUUUUUUGAAAGAAUAAAGGCAAAAUGUGAAAGAGAUCUUCAAACAGUGCUAAUUACAUUUUAAAAAUUCAGACUAUUAAAAUUACACAUAAUUAUCAGCUGAAUUAUUUAUAUAUUCAAUUAUUCAGAUCAGAAAUUUAACAGUUCCAAUAACAUUAAAAUGUUUCUAAACAAAAAUUCUCAAGUUACUUAUCAUUUCUACAAAGCUACCUGGUUAAAGCUCAAUGUUGAAUGCAGUACUACCACUUUGUGUUCAUCAUACUGACGUUGCUUUCUGCUAACAGGUUCUAAUUGUUUUGACAGUCCUGGUCUUAGCUUUCAUGCCACAUAAUCAGUCUUUCUUGCUUAUCAUAUAGCUAACCCGGAAGAAUCUUUUAAUUUUAAACAAUAAAGUUGAGCUCAAUCUAAAAAUGGAGGUAUUACAGUGUUUCAAACACAUCAUCAUAAGACAAUGUUCGUUUCUAAAUUCACCUUGAAGACCUUCCUUUACCAGGUGGCGCUUUGAAUUCUGGUCAACUCAUGGCUCUGCAGGGACAUGGAACCAUUACUUAUAUUUGGAAGCAUUAUUUGAUUUUCUCAAGCUACACUUCAAAUGAAGUUCAAUGAGGAAAGGAAUACACUAGAAUAAAACUAACAUUUUUAAGGAUUUAAUUAAAUUGGGUAAAUUGAGUUAGUGCUCCCUGGCUUUCUUCACUUUGUUCUAAUCAGUGAUUGAAGGUGUUAUUUUAAACUUCUAAGUUUGUUUUAUUUACUAUGAAUAAAUGAAAAUAGGUACCAAUUUUUGAGGACUUACGUGCGUGGCAGCAUACAAAAUAUUUUCUUAAAUCUUCUUUGAUCUCCCCCAGGAGCUUACUAGGUGGAUAUCAUCUCAUUUUAUAAGUGAAGAAAGAGAAGUAUGGUGGUGAAGCAAUACGUUCAAUGUCACUAAGUCCAUACACUAAGGCUUUGCUGUCUAUUGCUAAUCAUGCUUAUUGUUCUAGAUUACAAAGAUUUCUUCUACACCACUAGAUAAUGGACCUUAAAAAUUACCUUUAUAUUCCAUAGCAAUCACUGAACUCACUUUGAAAGUUGGAACUAUUAAAGUGUUUAAUUAUUUAUGGUUAACCUAAAAACAGUUUAAAACCAAAGAUGAGAUUCUUUCAAGCUGCAGCUAGAUUUUUCCCCUUCUUUUUAUUUCUGCAGAAUUAUAAAAUCAGUAUUUGCAAAGCCCUUACUUCACUAUUUCUUCCCCCUCUCUCCUCAGGGUCACUGUAUUUGGCAUGGUAUGCAUGUAUCACAUCACAUAUAUCAUAAUACAUAUAUAAUCAUAUGGAAAUUUAUAGUUUAGUUUUGUGGGAUUUUUUAAUAAAUGGAAAAAUACUGUGUAUUUUGUUUUACAAUUUGUUUUCUUCACUUAAUAUAUUUUGAACACUUAUUUUUCAAUACAUCUGUCUCAUUUUUUAAAAAUGCAUUAUGGAUAUUCUUAGAUUAAUACACAUCUAUAUUGCAUCCAUAUGUUCAUUUGAAACAAUGCAAUGAUGGUUAUAAUUAAGAAUGCAUAUAUGGGGGAUUUUCUAAGCCAGAUAUUGAUAACUGGAAUUGCCAGAUCAAAAAGUAUUUGUAUUAGUUAUAAGAGUACAAGAGAGCCAUUUUUCUCACACUUUUUUUUUUUGGCAGCACCUGUGGCAUGUGGAGGUUCAUGGGCCAGGGAUCAAACCUGUGCCACAGCAGCAACCCAAGCUGCUGCUGUGACAACGCCAGAUCCUUAACCUAGUGGGCCACCAGGGAACUCCUGUUUCCUUACACUUUCUGUUUAAUUUUUAUCUUUCUUUUUUCCUCACUUUUGCCUCUGAUGAAUUAAAGUAUCUUAUUUUUAAAUGUGCAUAUUUGUGACUUUUAGUGAGAUUAAGAAGUGUUUCACAUAUUUUUUUGUCAUCUGUAGUUCUGUAUAUUUUCUAUUCAUAUCAUUUGCCCAUUUUUCAGAAAGAUUGUUUAUCUGUUCACUAUGUAUUUUUAAAGAGGAGUUCUUAUAUUUGAAAUUAAAAAAAUGUUUCUUUAUAAUUUAAUUGCCUAAAGAUUAAGCUCUUGACAUUACUUCUAGAAAAACCUUGGUUGUGAUAGUUCAUUUCUGUAUAGCCAGAAUCACAAAUAUUUUUCUGUUUCUGUCAUUCCAUAGCCAACACUCUUCUCUUUAUUAAGUAUACUUGCCAACAAAUUCCAAUUCCCGUGGCACUUUCCUGGAAACAACAGCAAUAACUUUUUAAUAUAAUGUCAUUCUGAUGUUUAUACUCUCCGAGAAGACUAAAACUGUAAGAAGUUCUCAUGAAUAAUUUAGAAGUCCAAUCUUUUCAUUUAGGUAACUCACUAAAAGGUGGAGGGUGGGGACUCCCUCUUUAAGGAAUUCUUAUUCUAUAAAAAGUAAAAUUUGUUUAUUAGACUUCUCUUGGGUCUGCCAAUAAUAAGCUACUUAGCAUAAAAAUGAAGUUAUGCUAAAUCCAGUAGUACUAGAUAAGUUUCAGAAUUCAAUGUCUGUGUGUGUAUAAGGGUAUACUGAUUCAAACUAAAUAGCAAAAGCCUUGAAGUUACUUUUUGCAAGAUUUUGAGGAUAGAUACAUAAUUAAGAGGCUAGAGGUAAUCCCAAGAUUUUGCUGACAAGAGAAUAAAACUGGCCUGAAAUGUAGUUCCUUGGGGAGCACGGCAAAGAAUACAGUUUUUUAGUGGUCUCAUAUAACGAAGCUAAUGUGGAAGCAUUGAGACCUAUCAGAAUCUUUUUUGAGUGUCCACUUAUUAAAGGGUAAGUGUUUCUGAUCAUCACACAUCCUCCUAAAAUAUUUCAGCCUAGCUAGUAUGUUAGGUUCUAAGCUAGAAACUUCCAAAAGGCUAAUUUACAUUUUUAGAGCAUGUUUGAGCCUCUUUAUCCCAUUUUCCAUCAUUAAAAUGAAAAUGUUAUUAAAAAUACCCAGGGAGCUCUUAAAAAUACUAUGUAUUCUUUUAAAAAUCUGCUACAAAUCUAAACUUCCACUAAAUAAUUCUGAAAGUUUUUUUUUUAACUUUUUUAGGUGAAAGUUUUUUAAUGACAGGAAGACUAUGGAUAUUUUGACCACAUAUGUGUCAUCUGGUAUCUUCAUCACUGCCAAGAUCUAUCAAUGGGUUAAACUUUCACUUAUCUUUGUAAAAAGUAAACAUGAGGAAGAAGUCAAACAAACUAAAGCAUAAUAACCAAUAUAGCAACGGCUGUGCAAGGGCCUAAUAUCAGUGGCUAUUUAACUACAUACCAGAAAAAAAGAGUUAAUGUUAAUGCCAAUUCAAAGUGAGAAAAUCACAGUUAGCCAAUUAAUUCAUUUUUAUUCUAUAAAAUUUUAUGUUUUUAUACAUGUUUAGUGGCUUUUAUGAAUACUCGGUUAUCUAUUGCUGCAUAUCAAAUCACCCCAAAAAUUUAGUGGUUUAAAACAACACCAUUUUAUUAUCUCCACCAUUCUGUGAAUCAGCUAAGCCCAGCUCCAUGUGAUCUCAUCUGGCUCUGCAGCAUCCAAAAUGAAUCUUAGUGUCUCACACUGUGGUGAAGAAAGCUGGGCUCUACUGGGAUGCUGUGAUUAUUGAACAUCCCAAUGGUCUCUCCAACAAGGUAGCUAAUUUUUGCACAUGCAAUUUUUUUGCUCAUGAGCCCUGAGCUCAGGACUAUCCUAAAAAUGCAAAGCAGAACCUACCAGGCAUUCUUCAGGCGUAGACCAGGAACUGGCUUAAUGACACUUGUACUACAUUCAGUUAGUUACAGCAAAUCACAGAGCUAAUGCAGAUCCUGUGUGAAGGCGUACAGAGAGGCUUGAAGACCAGGAGGCGUGAUUCACUGGGGGCUGUCAAGAGUUUUGCUAAGCAACUCCAUGCUGUUGCUGUCCCAGCAUCCAUUUUGUUUGGACAAGCAUUUCGUUUGUGUGGGCUGUAAUCUGACAUCAGCCCUUCAUGCAAGCACAUACACUAGAUGACAGCCUGCAGAGUCACAAGUAAAUGUAAGUUCUUGAUCUGACUGCCACAAUGGCCCUUGUGAUAAACACUCCUUUGCCUCCCAGGGUCUUCGCCUUAUUCACCUCAUAUAUAAGACCUUCUUGGAGCUCACCAAAACCUUACUUUUUUGGUUUGAAUUGACCAAUCCAGGCUUAGAUCAGGAAUCCCAAAGCACUCCAUCCUGGGACCCUAAGAAAGGCAUGUGCCCCAGUACCUGCCAGCUCUCUCUGCCUUGACCGUCCCAUGUGGUUACCCCAAGCUUGCCACGUAUUUUCUCCAGGAUCUGAGAGUAAUAAACUCUUCAGUCUUAAUUCUCUUGUAGUCUUUUGUUGAACCUCAGCUUACCAUCUGACAAUCUGGGGCUCUAUUUGGAAAAUGUUAAUUUAAUAAAGUAAUGACAAGGGGUAUCUUUGGAAAGUAGCUCCCACUGUUAGCCUUCUUGCCAAAAAUGAUAUAUGUUCCUUCUGCUUUCAAAAUACACUUAAAAAUAUCCCUAAACCCUCAAAGCUGCAUCCCAUUUCAACAUCAGGAUCACACUUUAAGUGCAGGAUAAACAUAAUGUAAAUCAGGCUCAAGUGCAGUUGAUAUUAGCUGGUGGGUUCCUCUUCUUGAUCUGGAGACCAUGAAAAAAAACAAGGUAUGUGGCCCCCACAUACCCAGCAUACAGUGAGGAGACAGGAUCAGGAGAACCACAGUGGACACUUCCAUUCAAAAAGAGGAGUAAAAAUGAUAGCAACAUAGUCACCAGUCUGAAAAACUUCUGAGAUGCAGCAGAGCACAGAUGCCAUUUCACUUUUCCCAGAAGGCAAGGUGUAGGUUGACUAGGGCCUACAUAUGUUCCCUGGUGGUGGUCUUCUUGAUUAUUGGCCCUACGCUCAGAACUCUUGACACUAUACUUGGAUUCAUUGUCUUUCCUUAAGAAACAGUUCAUGUUUGCAGCUGAGUAGUGUUCUCAGCCUGCUUCUUGCCAGUAGGAAGUUUGAGGGCUCAAAACAUUUUUGUUUUGAAGACUUGUUCCUUUCAAUCCAAGCUGGUACAAUUCUUUUCAAAACUUGUAGGUUUGUUACAUACAAAUCAUAAUCAAAUUCAUUAGACAAAAAUGACACCCACAUAUUUUGGGGUGGGAUCUUUAUUUGGGGCCAACUAUGAGGGUGCAUAGGUUCACAAAAGAGAGGGUCAGAGAGAUAGGUCCUCAAGGUUCUUAGAAGUAAUUUCUACUAAUGGGAAAAAUGAGACAUUUUUUACAAUUUCCUGAAGUCUCAACAAAAUUGAGACUUUGGUCUGAUCUUGAAUUGGAGGCCAUAAUACUUUACUAGCAGAACUCUGGGUUUGCCAUUUUUCCCUGAAGAAGAAAUUUUUAAAAUAUUCCAUCAAUCCCCCCAGUUAUUUCAUGUCUUUUUUUAGUGAAUGUCUCUCACCACUGACAAUGAUGUCCUCUGUUACUACAGAUCAGUCUUGUCUUUCUAGAAUUUUAUAUAAAU